GGCAGCGUAGCCAAGUGGGAAGGCGGCGGUCUGCAAAACCGCAAUGAAGGGGUUCGAUUCCCCUCGCUGCCU
Molecule: transfer RNA, 72 nt
Filed under: Candidatus Omnitrophota bacterium
Lineage: Bacteria; Pseudomonadati; Candidatus Omnitrophota
Description: Candidatus Omnitrophica bacterium (groundwater metagenome) tRNA-Cys
Rfam family: tRNA
About the family: Transfer RNA (tRNA) molecules are approximately 80 nucleotides in length.
Source: RNAcentral